RNAcentral lists this ribosomal RNA (343 nucleotides) under Innesoconcha doppelganger. Its description in RNAcentral is "partial large subunit ribosomal RNA". It matches the Rfam family "Archaeal large subunit ribosomal RNA", at positions 1909 to 2604 of the family's 2987-position model. The record is from RNAcentral. Lineage: Eukaryota; Metazoa; Mollusca; Gastropoda; Stylommatophora; Euconulidae.
AGUUUUAUGGAAUUCUAUAAAAUGAAACCUGCCCAAUGAAGAUUUAAUGGCCGCAGUACUUUAACUGUGCUAAGGUAGCAUAAUAAUUUGGCUUUUAAUUAAAGUCUGGUAUGAAAGGAUUAAUGGGUAUAAUCUGUCUUGUUUGACUUAAAAAAAAUUACUUAGAAGGUGAAAAUACCUUUAUAAAAUAAUUAGACGAGAAGACCCUAGGAGUUUUUGUUUUGUUGGGGCAACAUUUUAGUAAAGAAAUCUAUUUAUUACAUUUAACGAAUAUAUUAAUUAUAAUUAAACUACCCUAGGGAUAACAGCAUAAUUUUUUAAAAGAUUGUGACCUCGAUGUUGG